CACACACACACAGACACUGAACUGGCCAGUAUUGCUAAUCUUCUUAGCAAUCACAAGGUUUGACUGUUGAAAGAGUGCAAAGUUCACAUCAUCAACAACAACAGAGGUUCCUGCCAAUGAGGGAGAGCUGAAGAGACAGAUAAAGAAGACAGACAGUCAUAAAAGACGAGAGCAUUAAUCGAAUCACAGCCGUUACCUCUGGACUGAAGCAGCCAUCUUUACUCCAUGAGGAAUUAUUCUUUGGAUUAUUACCUUCAGCAGUGAAACCUGAUGUCACACACUGACGCUGACUGAACUUUAAAGCUUUUAAGUCUUAAAGUUAUGUGACAGCCGUCGGGAAAACGUCACCUUUGACUUCCAUUUAAUUCCUGGCUGGUGAAGAAGAUACACAUCAGCACAGACAGCUGUCAUGACAACUGUGCAUUAGCUCACUGAUCAUAUUUGGCAGCCAUCUGGAGGUCACUCCUACCUACAUCCAUUUAAACUUGCCUCUCCAGGGAACCUGAAGACGGAGCAGUAUGGAGGUGCUCAGUGGCCCCUGGGCUGACUUGGCUCUGCUCCUGCGACGAACCAUCGCGCAGACACACGGAGAGACGGACAGCUUUCUUCCUCUCUGGCUGUUUGGCCUGCUGCUGUUCCUGUCUGUCUGUCUGCUGCUGCUGCAACUCAUCAUCUACCUCAGCUGGAAACUCAGACAGGUUGAGGCAGAUCUUUCUGGGUUUCCACAAGACAGAGACGCCAUCUACAGGCAGAUACACAGAAGUACAGAGCAGAGGAGAAGGAGUGCUGGGUUGCACUCUCACACCUGACAGCAGACACACACUUCAUCAACACAACAGACUCUCAAAACCUGCUGAAAUGAACUUUCGUCUGACUGUUUCAAACAGUGCUGUCAGUCAGCGUGGGUAUCUGUGCAGAGACAAGUGACCAGCGUGGACAUAUCCCAGGCAGGAUGAAGGUGCCUUAACAAGUAACUAAAAUCCUUAGUUAUAAUAAAAUCUGUGAAAAUUCUUGUUUAAAACCCUCAGGGAAAUCUGGAAGUUAUUAAGACGACUGUCUCUAACCUUCUGACAUCAUUAUGAAGCUACAGGCAUCUCUUGGAGCUGUAUUUAUUUUCCACCCUCUUGUUAAAUUUGAGAAACUGUCACCCUGAAAUUAUCAUUUUUGCACAGCUCUAAGUUUCAUUAUUAGACUGUCUGUGCAACAAUACUGGAGACUGGUUAGUUUUUUAAAUGAACCAAUAAAUGGAUAAAGAAAUGAUGUGUCCGAGACAUGUCAGAGUAUAACAAUCCUUUAUUUAAACAGUGUUACACGGGGGAGGAGUGGCUGUGUGUGGGGAGAGACACAAGACAGUUAAGCUGCUAGAUAGAAAAACCCUACCAGUGAUCAUUGGUUGGCUAAAGACGGAGCGAAGAGGCAGCUGGGGUCGGUUUUCCAAAAAUGUUCCUUUACAAAGUUUCUGUCGGUGUCAAAGUACAAAAAGGUGCUGGUAUCAACUGUCACUCAUCUGUGCUGCAAAGCCUGAGACACAACUGUGAAGAAACCAGUCAAAUUAUUAUCUGUAUUUUCAAACAGCUACAUGUUAAUUAGAUUUAACGGCAGUAUAUUGAUGGUGUUCGCCCUCUGUGGUGUUGACAUCCCUGACAGUCUUAAAAUCAGCUGGCGUAGAAUCAUCAUCAGUUGCUGUUCCGUUGCUGUGGCAACCACUUUGGUCUCUGUUUACUUCCUGUCAGCUACUGAAACAACAAACAUCACAACAGGAAAUACAAAGGAGGCCCAUUUAGAAUGUUUACGUUGUCAUGGUAACAGAGCUUCCAACAUUUUAUCUGUGCUGUUUUUUUCAAUUUUAAUCAAAGUUAGUGAUGGCGAGACGUUCCUGUGUGAUCGCACUUUAGGAUUAACCUCAAAUAAAAUUUUGUGCUACCGACAUUUUUGGAAAACCAGACCUGGCAGCGCCCCAAAGCUCCUGUGAUUGGUUAAAACAGAGCCCAGACCCCCCGGAAAACACAGGGGGGCCGAAAGUACAAAAAAGAAAUGGUGGCAGAAAAAUUUGCUUUAUAGUGGUGGUUCCUUCAAUGUCAAAAACACUGUGACAAUAUUACAAAUAUCCAAGAGGGCGCACAAUAAAUCCCACCUUUCAACGACUUGAUCAGUUUCACAGAGAAAAGACGACAAAUGCUGAGAAAAUCUACAAAUAUGGUUUUUAAAAGUUGUUUUUUUGUCUUUUUUUUUGGAACAGCAAAAGCUUCCAAAGCUGCCAAGUGUUGCACUGUUUUAUCUGUUAAAGUUUUUCUGCUGCUUUGCAAGAGGGUUAGAGGUUAAAGCUUUCUUUCCUCUCGUCUGGAAUGUCAUUUAACUGCAUAGUAGAGGUCAGACCAGUGUUUCCCAAUAAAAAGCCUAGACGGUCGAUACCGCUCCAUCAUCUGGACGUGCCUCAGGCCAGACAGGAAGUCCUAAACUGGCGAUAAAUUAAGAGGCACGUAUUUUAAAUGUGGAGAUUGUAUGUUAAUAAAUGACUCCAAUUAAAUCCGCAUUCAGGUCCAGUCAGACUGGAGGGUUAAGACAAAUCUAGGCAGGUACAGGUGGAAUGUUUUUUAUCAUCAAUCUGUGGCACUUCUUCACUCACAAUCUGUUCAAUCUCAACAGACCGUGUUCUUGUUUUCACAGCUCACACUGAAAAUCUGUGUUGACUAAAAUGCGUUCUUGUUCUAACCCGUUUAAUGCCACCAAUAUUUACACAAAGUCACAUUUUUGUGGAACAUUUGGGUAAAAGGACACCGAAACAAUGAAUAAAACAUCACGAGAUUCCAUUUAGGGGUUUCAAGAGCACUUCAAACCCUCAGACACGCUUCCCUUUCAGCUGCAUUUGGCUGUUGUGUUGUAACUGUUUCCAUGUCUGUUCGUAGUUCACUGGCAGAUUCAUGUUCCUGCUUUCUGUUAAAAUAGAGUGGAAUACAAUGUAUUUUGAAACAGCUCAAAAACAUAAAAAAAUCAAUUUAAUGCUGAUAAGAUUUGGUUGCGGUGAAACAGUUACAACGCAGCCAGCAUCAGGUCAAAGAUUAUCUCCUCUAGACGUACUGUAUGAGCCCAAAUCAUCUCUUAUCUACACACUCUCAAACCAAUCAACACAGUAGCCUUCCAUCUAGACUCGCUCAAGAUAAAAAAUGUGUGAACCAUGCUGAAUUUAUUCCCAGAUCUCAUUCUAUCUAACAGGGUUGUUCUCAUUAUCUACUCUGGUAUGAGAAAAGAAGCUGGGAGUGAAACUAAGUGCUGAGCUAUGACGACAAACAGGCUCUGAUGCAGAGUUAGCAAACUGGUAGAAACUCCGUUGUUAUGAAUAUGGGACAGAACUGUUUUUCAACUUGUUCCGACUGUAUGUCCUCAUUUUGGUGCCUGUGCUUCAAUUGCAGAUUGUGUGUUAAAGGGUACGUUUGGUAUUUUUCAAUCUGAGCUUUUUUUCCAUGCUAUUGUGCCUGAGUGACGAAUGGAGACAACAGCUUUUGAAACUGGUCCAGUGUUGAGUGAGAGCACUGCAGCAGACAGCGGCAAAUCAGGCUGCAAUGUAAUCGCUUGGGGCAAUUGUGCACCGUCAAUUCAUGUCCACUGAAAGUGCUUGUUUUGCCACUGACAGGCUCAGAUUAUUAGUGUCUGACAACUUAUGGAAAGGAUCCCUACAGAGAUAGAGCUUUAUGCUGAAGUGUAAGAUCAUUUCAGUUCAACCUGUAAUCAUCAUCACUAACCCCCAAAAGACUCCAUUUUAAUAAACAGUCAUUUCAUCAUCGUGAAACACACUUUACUCUAAAGGCCAAAACACACCGACAGUGAACGCCAUGCAUCAACAACUAUGCCCCUAUUAUUUUCAAUGCACCCCACACUAACGGCGGCUAGACACCUGUCAGCGCUUCUGGACACGCCGCCACUGUCCUGUUUCCAGCCUCGCCAACCCCAGAAUUAAAAGCAUUUUUCCCCACUCACUCUCGGCUUGUAUGUACCGGCUCCUGUUGCAGCUCUUUUUCUCUGCUCCUACGGCAGCUCGACUUGUCUCCACACCAUCGAUUCAUAAAGAGAACUCUCUGCUGUCUCCUGUGGGACAAAGACUAGAUGACGAGAGACUGAUUGUUGAGGUUGAGAAAUAUCCCCAACUAAACGACCCAUGAUCCCAUCAUUUUAAAGGCAGUGGCCAAAAAGAUAUUGCCUGGUGAGUCAUCACUCCAUCGCUCUUCAGUGAGAAAUCAAGUUUAAUUCGGGGGUCUCCACACGUGAUUUAAAGCUAACGCAGAGGUGAAAGAGGCACAGAUCUUUCAGCAGAAUUAACUUUGUGUAGCAGUCUGUUAACAAGUUGCAGUGCAAUGUGUCCGGUGUGAGUUAGGGGGCGCCGUGCCUCAGUGUGUCUUCAGCUUAAGUCGACAGAUACAAAAUAAAACUCUCUAAACCUGUCUUGGUUUGUCUGGUUUGGCUGAAAUAAACCCUUCAUUCUCCCAGUUAGAUGUGAGAACAUGCUAACGUGAUUAACACUAGAAUGUUUAUCUGAAUGGAGUCUGGUGGGUUUGGCUUGAGUGAUUCUUGGGGCUGUUUAUGCUUUAACAAAAAGCUCUAUCUCUGUGGGGAUCCUUUCCAUAAGUUGUCAGAAUAACAAUCUGUGCCUGUGAGCGGCAAAAGCAAGCAAUUUUAGUGGACGUACAUUGACAGCGCACAGUUGCCCCAUGUUGUUACAUUGCAACCUGUUUGCAGCUGCCAACAGCAGCCCUCUCGCUCAACACUGGACCAAUCUCAAACCUCUCCGUCUCCAUUCGUCACUUAGACACAAAAACAAGGGAGGAAAGAGUCAAGGUUGAAAAACACCAAACUUACCCUUUAAGUAUUGUCCUAAGAAUAUUAAAACAGCUUUAACUCGCUGCCGAAUGCAAAAUAACGUGAGUGAAACUUGCCGUAGAGUGAGGCCAACAUGCAUCAAUUCUUUUUUAACUCCCAAAGGUGUUAGUUGGCACCACACAGUGCCGCCGAUAUCUCCCAAUCAUCCUCCAGUUUACUGGUCCUCUCUCCCAAUCAAAGGUCAGUUUACUGCUCCCUUACUUCCCUGUGACCCAACAGGAAUGGCUAGUGUCGUACAGUGGGCGGGCCCAGGGAGAGCGCUUAGCUAACGACAAGCUGCAUUACUGCUCCCAUCUAAUAACCUUCAUCUUUACUGUACAGAGAGUUGUAUACACCAGCUUUAAAGUCAGCUCAUUUUCAGUCCAUUUAGUAAAAGUGAAUUCUAAAAUACAGUGAAACACUAGGAAUUAUAUUCACCUGCAUCGUUUGGCUUCUCCUGCUUAGUUAAUGUGAUCCAAUAAAGAUUCCUUCCGUUCCCACCGACUGUAAAGGGUGAACAGUCUUUUCUUCUCAGAGUUGAGUACAAAGUGAAGUGAACUGAAAAUGAUCUCACUCAGCCGCCGGUCAACACACAAGGAAUGUGGAUGAAUCAUAACUAUACUUACAGAAAAAAAAGACAGAUCAUAAAAAUUCAAAAACCUGGUUGAUUGUUUUUUUUUUUACUGCAAUAUUUUAAGUUACAGCUCCCUGUGUUCUGUCAUUGUUUAGUAACAUAACGUGAUCAUGUGACAUGGCUCCCAUUCAUCUGAUGUGAACGUGUUUAAUGAGUAAGACUGUUUCAUUUUGUUACACUUUGAAAAAGUAAAAAACAUAAAGAGGUUGUGUCCUCCUGGUUUCUGCAGUCCUACUCGUUACUGUAAAAAAAUUGAAAUUACUGUGUUAUAUUAUUUCUCCAUAACGAAGUGAGGGAGCUGUAAUUUAACAAAUCACUUUUUUUUUAUUAAUUUUUUUUUAGGAAUGCACCAAUACCACUUCCCCUCUGCUGAUACAGAACAAAAAAUAUGAAAAUCUCAGCGUUAUUUUACAAAAAAAGAUGAAGAUAAAAAGCGUUCUCUAUUUAAGAUGGUCGUUAUCUUUUUAUCUAUCUUUACUCUGACUCGUGAGUAAGUGAAUAGUUACUGAAGGUCACUGCUACUGGUGAAA
Long non-coding RNA from Epinephelus lanceolatus (giant grouper), 6015 nucleotides. RefSeq lists it as uncharacterized. The record is from RefSeq and is a predicted model, not a curated record. Lineage: Eukaryota; Metazoa; Chordata; Actinopteri; Perciformes; Serranidae.